UUAAAGACGGUCACUCUACAAAAAACUAAGAAGGCAACGGCGGCAGCAAAAGCAAUUUGCAAUAGAAAAAAUAAAAAUAUAAAACACGUCGGAGAGAGUGGUGCUUGGCUGACGGACCAGGGCGUGUGACAGCGAGUGCAAGUGAUAAAUUCAUUGACAGCCGCAGACACCGAGAAAUACAAUCACAAUGAGCGCACCUGGCAUGGAUAAGAGGAAACUCUCCACAUCUGGCGAUUCACUUUACGAGAUCCUGGGACUUCCUAAAACAGCCACCGGAGACGACAUCAAAAAGACAUACCGAAAACUCGCACUUAAAUACCACCCUGACAAGAACCCCGACAACGUUGAUGCUGCCGAAAAGUUCAAGGAGGUGAACCGAGCGCAUUCGAUAUUGAGCGAUCAGACAAAGCGUAACAUUUACGACAACUAUGGAUCCCUUGGCCUGUACAUAGCCGAGCAGUUUGGCGAGGAGAACGUCAAUGCGUACUUCGUGGUAACGUCACCGGCAGUGAAGGCAUUGUUCUUCUGCUGUGCCAUAGUUACUGGAUGCUGCUGUUGUUGUUGCUGCUGCUGCUGCUGCAACUUCUGUUGUGGCAAGUUCAAGCCGCCGGUAAACGAGUCGCACGACCAGUAUGCACAUCUGAAUCGCUCCGAUGGCCAUCGAGAGGCCAGCGAUCUGCCACCACCCCUGGGACAAAAGCCACGUCUUGAGGACGUUGAUCUGGACGACGUGAAUCUUGGAUCGGGAGGCGCCCCUGUUACAUCACAGCCGCGGGAGCAGGCCGGCGGACAGCCUGUCUUCGCCAUGCCGCCUCCAAGUGGAGCAGCCGUGGGUGUCAACCCCUUCACCGGCGCCCCUGUGGCGGCCAACGAGAACACAUCGCUAAACACCACGGAGCAGACCACCUACACACCAGGUCUGCAGCAGCCGUUUUUCAAUCCGCUCUAUUGAGGGCCAUCUGAAAACUAAUAUCGAAGUGUUCCCUAGUUUUAGUUGCAAGCUCGGUUGUACUGGACCAUGAAGCUAUUUACAUUUGAGUGCGUCAUCAAAACAUGAAGAAACACUGCCAUGAUUACAUGGUCAAUCAGAAAUAUUAGCCAAGUGCGGCGAUCGAUUCAAGUCCCAAGUGCAUGCGUAUGUAACGAUACUGAUACUGACACAGAUAUAAACAAAAAGAUUUAAGUUGCAACUGAAUGGAAAACCAGAUUAAUUUAUGAUUAGAUUUGUUUUAAGGAUGAGCGAUAUGUUGAAGCGAGAUAACAUAAAAACCAAUGUAUUUAUAGUAAGCGAUAGCUCUUAGCUUUAAUUUUAAACAGUCUUACCACGGCGCUUGCGGCAACCGAUGCAGGCGGUAGUCAGGUUGAUCUUGGGCCGCCCCUCGAUAUCGUUUCUACUAUCCCAUGGUUAAAGGCUGCUACUCAGCAAGCCGCCCAAAAUCGUGAGCCUAAGUGGGGCUUACCAAAUAUCACCAAAACCGAUCAACUGUACUAAAUACACGAUUCUGGCUCUUUUAAAUUGUUAAUCGUCGGCUGUUUCAGACAUUUGCUUGGGAAACGAUCACGGGGGUGACGUGGAUAGGACGGAGUAGUGCACGCCCUCCUGUGGAAUCGACUAUACAAGAAGCACUGUAUGUUAAUUAUCUUAUGUAUAUGAUGUCUGUACCUAGCUCGCAUUUGUGUCAUCCUCUGUCUAGUGUAGCUAAAUCAUGCGCGAAGCCUAUUUUUCACCCAUUGUUUCUGUUAGUU
This 1746-nucleotide unclassified non-coding RNA is filed under the name Drosophila ananassae. Its description in RNAcentral is "GF10972". Lineage: Eukaryota; Metazoa; Arthropoda; Insecta; Diptera; Drosophilidae. The record is from RNAcentral.